AUAAAAAAAUAAAACCUACCUUUAGUAUUACCCCCAAUACCCGUAAGGCCAUAACCCUAAUUUCUCCAACUCGUCUCCACCACCGCCAUUCAACUCCAACGCCGCCAAGCCCAUCUCUGUGAAUCCAUUCAACUCCAACGUCUCUGUGUUCAACUCCACCGCUAGCUCUUGAUGAUCAAAAUCCGAUUCUUAUGGGAUGAAUUUUAAAUGAUUAUUGGAUUUCUUGAAUUUCUUUCUUGUAUAUCUGGGUUUAUUCCAGAAACAGAGAAAUUGUUGGAGGGGAAUCGGUGGUUGAACUGUUAUUGAAAUGAUUGAUGUCAUUGAAAAUCCUGGUCAAUAAGUGAGGAAUGGCAAAAUUCAUGUGGAAUUGCUUGGAAAAUUCGGAAGUUUUGAAGAAUUCGAUUGAUCGAACCUAAAAGUAGAUCGAUCGAAUUUUGCCCGAAGUCGAUCGAUCGAACAAAAGUCGAUCGAUCGAAAUUUCCCAGAACUUACUUUUGCAGAAGUGCGCCAGAACACCCAAUCAGGAGCUUCUCCAUGACAAAAAGCAGUUCUCCCUCUGAUUUUCGCAGCAGAACACACUGGUUGCAUGACCUUGGUUGUCUCUAGCAAGAGAGGAACCCUAGAGGGGGUUAGAGGAGUCAUUUUACAUGGGUUUCUAGCCCUAAUUUCCCUCUAUAAAAGCUAUAGCCAUACCUCCUUGUUGAGGGAGUUCAGAAAACAGUAACUAGGUUUAAUUUCGUGCAUUUUGUAGUGUAUUCCAGUAGCUUUUGUUUUUAGACACUUUCUUUUUGUAAAGCUUUCCUUUUAUUUCCA
Molecule: long non-coding RNA, 813 nt
Organism: Alnus glutinosa
Lineage: Eukaryota; Viridiplantae; Streptophyta; Magnoliopsida; Fagales; Betulaceae
Exons: 2
Source: RefSeq, a predicted model, not a curated record